RNAcentral lists this ribosomal RNA (438 nucleotides) under uncultured bacterium. RNAcentral's name for it is "bacterial SSU rRNA". It matches the Rfam family "Bacterial small subunit ribosomal RNA", at positions 954 to 1392 of the family's 1533-position model. The record is from RNAcentral.
GCAAAACGCGAAGAACCUUACCCACCUUUGACAUGUACGGAAUCCUUUAGAGAUAGAGGAGUGCUCGAAAGAGAGCCGUAACACAGGUGCUGCAUGGCUGUCGUCAGCUCGUGUCGUGAGAUGUUGGGUUAAGUCCCGCAACGAGCGCAACCCUUGCCAUUAGUUGCUACAUUUAGUUGAGCACUCUAGUGGGACUGCCGGUGACAAACCGGAGGAAGGUGGGGAUGACGUCAAGUCCUCAUGGCCCUUAUAGGUGGGGCUACACACGUCAUACAAUGGCUGGUACAAAGGGUUGCCAACCCGCGAGGGGGAGCUAAUCCCAUAAAGCCAGUCGUAGUCCGGAUCGCAGUCUGCAACUCGACUGCGUGAAGUCGGAAUCGCUAGUAAUCGUGGAUCAGAAUGUCACGGUGAAUACGUUCCCGGGUCUUGUACACACCG